Molecule: ribosomal RNA, 230 nt
Filed under: uncultured bacterium
Lineage: Bacteria
Description: partial 16S ribosomal RNA
Rfam family: Bacterial small subunit ribosomal RNA
Source: RNAcentral
AAAGCGCGCGCAGGUGGUUUGUUAAGUUGGAUGUGAAAGCCCCGGGCUCAACCUGGGAACUGCAUCCAAAACUGGCAAGCUAGAGUAUGGUAGAGGGUGGUGGAAUUUCCUGUGUAGCGGUGAAAUGCGUAGAUAUAGGAAGGAACACCAGUGGCGAAGGCGACCACCUGGACUGAUACUGACACUGAGGUGCGAAAGCGUGGGGAGCAAACAGGAUUAGAUACCCUUGU